Molecule: ribosomal RNA, 503 nt
Filed under: uncultured bacterium
Lineage: Bacteria
Description: partial 16S ribosomal RNA
Rfam family: Bacterial small subunit ribosomal RNA
Source: RNAcentral
GACGAACGCUGGCGGCGUGCUUAACACAUGCAAGUCGAACGGUGAAGCGCUUUCCUUUUUGGUUGGUGUGGAUGAGUGGCGAACGGGUGAGUAACACGUGAGUAACCUGCCCCCUUCUUCUGGAUAACCGCAUGAAAGUGUGGCUAAUACGGGAUAUUCUGCGCCUGCUGCAUGGUGGGUGUGGGAAAGAUUGUGCCUUUGGGUGUUUUCGGUGGGGGGUGGGCUCGCGGCCUAUCAGCUUGUUGGUGGGGUGAUGGCCUACCAAGGCGGUGACAGGUAGCCGGCGUGGGAGGGUGGUCGGUCGCAUGGGGACUUGGACACGGCCCAUACGACUACGGCAGGCAGCAGUGGGGAAUAGGGCGCAAUGGGGGCAAGCCUGAUGCAGCGACGCCGCGUGAGGGAUGGAGGCGUUCGGGUUGUGAACCUCUUUCGCCAGUGAAGCAGGCCUGCUCCUUGUGGGUGGGUUGACGGUAGCUGGAUAAGAAGCGCCGGCUAACUACGUG